RNAcentral lists this small nuclear RNA (94 nucleotides) under Nannospalax galili (Upper Galilee mountains blind mole rat). The record is from RNAcentral. Lineage: Eukaryota; Metazoa; Chordata; Mammalia; Rodentia; Spalacidae.
GCGUUCACUUCAUCAGCGCGUAUGCUAAAACUGGAGAGAUAGAGAGAAGAUUAGUAAGGAUGACAUGCAAAUCCACGAAGCAUUCUGUAUUUAA